This is a long non-coding RNA of Alexandromys fortis (reed vole), 701 nucleotides long. RefSeq lists it as uncharacterized. NCBI's taxonomy places the organism in Eukaryota, Metazoa, Chordata, Mammalia, Rodentia, Cricetidae. The transcript is spliced from 5 exons. The record is from RefSeq and is a predicted model, not a curated record.
UGAAGACUAAGAAGCUGGUAGUAUAGCUGACUCUCUCAAGGACCAAGACCACAGACUUCAUUUCAGUCUUCUUACUGAGUCCGGUAUUUGCACAGGUGAUAUCAGCGUUCGGAGGGAAAAUCUGAGAAGCUAUGUAUGUUCAGUCACUCACAUGGAAUGAAGACAGAAACUCAUGAUUCCCUGAGCUCUGCCUGAAAUGAUGCAGCUCCCAUCAGUUACUGGGUGAAGCCUCUCUGCCCCCUUGCCCGAAGCUUGGGAACUGGGUGCCAGCGCACCGAGUGCAGACAUGGGGGCGCGGUGUGCGGCAAUUGGAGGUCUCCACAGAGACAUCGGCAUUUGGAGGUCUCCACCGAGAUAUCGGGAACGCAGCACCUGUGGUUGUUCAUGAAUGUACUUGGAGUAAACAAUCCUGACAUGAGAUCCUCAAGAGCAUGUUUUGAAGAAAUACAUUGAUUCAAUGUAAACAUCUACUCUGGGCUGGAGGAGAGAUUUCUCAGUGGUUAAGGUUAAGAACAUAUGCAGCUUGUUGCUCCAGAGGAUCCUAGUCUGAUUCCCAUCAUCCAUAUAGGGAAGAGGCCCACCACUGUCAUGAACUCCAGCUCCAAGGGCUUCAGCACUGUCUUCUGGCCUCUGAAGGCCCCUGAACAUACAUGUGACUGUACUCCACCCUACCACACAACUGAAAAUUAACAUUAAAUGUU